UGUGUCUUAUGAAAAUAGCCAAAUUUGAGCAUCAGAAGACCUUCCAGUCUACCGAAUGCAUGAUCUCUGGAGUUCUGAGA
This is a small nucleolar RNA of Zalophus californianus (California sea lion), 80 nucleotides long. Ensembl annotates it as small nucleolar RNA U2-19. Lineage: Eukaryota; Metazoa; Chordata; Mammalia; Carnivora; Otariidae. The record is from Ensembl.